AACGAACGCUGGCGGCAGGCCUAACACAUGCAAGUCGAGCGCGCCCUUCGGGGUGAGCGGCGGACGGGUGAGUAACGCGUGGGAACGUGCCCUUUUCUACGGAAUAGCCUCGGGAAACUGAGAGUAAUACCGUAUACGCCCUUUGGGGGAAAGAUUUAUCGGAAAAGGAUCGGCCCGCGUUGGAUUAGGUAGUUGGUGGGGUAAUGGCCUACCAAGCCGACGAUCCAUAGCUGGUUUGAGAGGAUGAUCAGCCACACUGGGACUGAGACACAGCCCAGACUCCUACGGGAGGCAGCAGUGGGGAAUCUUAGACAAUGGGGGCAACCCUGAUCUAGCCAUGCCGCGUGAGUGAUGAAGGCCUUAGGGUUGUAAAGCUCUUUCAGCUGGGAAGAUAAUGACGGUACCAGCAGAAGAAGCCCCGGCUAACUCCGUG
Molecule: ribosomal RNA, 433 nt
Filed under: uncultured bacterium
Lineage: Bacteria
Description: partial 16S ribosomal RNA
Rfam family: Bacterial small subunit ribosomal RNA
Source: RNAcentral